Molecule: ribosomal RNA, 207 nt
Filed under: uncultured bacterium
Lineage: Bacteria
Description: partial 16S ribosomal RNA
Rfam family: Bacterial small subunit ribosomal RNA
Source: RNAcentral
UACGUAGGGUGCAAGCGUUAUCCGGAAUUAUUGGGCGUAAAGAGCUCGUAGGCGGUCUGUCGCGUCUGCUGUGAAAUCUGGGGGCUCAACCCCCAGCCUGCAGUGGGUAGGGCAGACUAGAGUGCGGUAGGGGGAGAUUGAACUCCUGGUGUAGCGGUGGAAUGCGCAGAUAAUCAGGAAGAACACCGAUGGCGAAGGCAGAAUCUC